AUGAGGAAUUCAUGCCUUGCACAGGGGAGGAGCCUGCCCUCUUGAGCUCUUGUGGUGACCUGGGAAUCAAUGUGUGAGGUGGUGCUUUUUAGCAGGAACCCCUCUCGCUUUGCAAAUAGUUUUUUGUUUGUUUUCCUUUUUGCCCAAUAGAGCCCUGCUCUACUGACCCUUCAAUGUGCCCGUGUGCCUAAAUAUUCCUGGUCGUGUGAAAAGAACCCAGGUAUUAGCUGAACUAAGGAGCACAAUUCUGCAACAUUUUGGCACCCAAACACGGGGCUUGAGAAAUGAAUGCAAUUGGAGAAACUGGUUGUUUUACCAGGCGUUGAUUGGAAAUGUGUGCUUCCCUUUAAGCAGUCAAGCUCAACUUGCAGAGCUGAUGGAAACCCCUUGGGAAAACUGGCCUCAAACGUUUGUCUACACAGUCCACAUACAGGGUUCUUAACCUGCGGAAACACUUUCUGAAAAUGUCAGAACUCUUGAAAACAUGGAUGAGGAAAAGCAUAAGUACUGCUUUAUGCUUGUCUUAUGAAUUUUAAAAGAUGUAAUUUAAAGGUACUUUAAAGUGAUAUUUGUGCCCUUGUAACUGAUUCAAAGUAGACUGCUAAGGACAAUAAGUAAUAAGAGUCUACAAAUAUCAAUAAAUUAUGAGAAAAAAACGGUCUAA
This is a long non-coding RNA of Pan troglodytes (chimpanzee), 664 nucleotides long. RefSeq lists it as uncharacterized. Lineage: Eukaryota; Metazoa; Chordata; Mammalia; Primates; Hominidae. The record is from RefSeq and is a predicted model, not a curated record. The transcript has 3 exons.